UACGGAGGAUGCGAGCGUUAUCCGGAUUUAUUGGGUUUAAAGGGUGCGCAGGCGGAGGUGCAAGUCAGCGGUCAAAUUGCGGGGCUCAACCCCGUACUGCCGUUGAAACUGCAUCCCUUGAGUGCGCGAGAAGUAUGCGGAAUGCGUGGUGUAGCGGUGAAAUGCAUAGAUAUCACGCAGAACUCCGAUUGCGAAGGCAGCAUACCGGCGCGCAACUGACGCUCAUGCACGAAAGCGUGGGUAUC
Molecule: ribosomal RNA, 245 nt
Filed under: uncultured Porphyromonadaceae bacterium
Lineage: Bacteria; Pseudomonadati; Bacteroidota; Bacteroidia; Bacteroidales; Porphyromonadaceae
Description: partial 16S ribosomal RNA
Rfam family: Bacterial small subunit ribosomal RNA
Source: RNAcentral